UUACCGAGUUUACAACUCCCAAACCCAAUGUGAACGUUACCAAACUGUUGCCUCGGCGGGAUCUCUGCCCCGGGUGCGUCGCAGCCCCGGACCAAGGCGCCCGCCGGAGGACCAACCAAAACUCUUAUUGUAUACCCCCUCGCGGGUUUUUUUAUAAUCUGAGCCUUCUCGGCGCCUCUCGUAGGCGUUUCGAAAAUGAAUCAAAACUUUCAACAACGGAUCUCUUGGUUCUGGCAUCGAUGAAGAACGCAGCGAAAUGCGAUAAGUAAUGUGAAUUGCAGAAUUCAGUGAAUCAUCGAAUCUUUGAACGCACAUUGCGCCCGCCAGUAUUCUGGCGGGCAUGCCUGUCCGAGCGUCAUUUCAACCCUCGAACCCCUCCGGGGGGUCGGCGUUGGGGAUCGGCCCUCCCUUAGCGGGUGGCCGUCUCCGAAAUACAGUGGCGGUCUCGCCGCAGCCUCUCCUGCGCAGUAGUUUGCACACUCGCAUCGGGAGCGCGGCGCGUCCACAGCCGUUAAACACCCAACUUCUGAAAUGUUGACCUCGG
RNAcentral lists this ribosomal RNA (544 nucleotides) under Trichoderma lentiforme. RNAcentral's name for it is "eukaryotic LSU rRNA". The stretch from base 205 to 358 matches the Rfam family "5.8S ribosomal RNA". The record is from RNAcentral. Lineage: Eukaryota; Fungi; Ascomycota; Sordariomycetes; Hypocreales; Hypocreaceae.